Molecule: long non-coding RNA, 4475 nt
Filed under: Hordeum vulgare
Lineage: Eukaryota; Viridiplantae; Streptophyta; Magnoliopsida; Poales; Poaceae
Description: long non-coding RNA (HVUL_LNC007506)
Source: RNAcentral
GCAUAGAUACAACAAUGGCAUCACAACAUAACCAUACAACAACACAACAUUUAUUUAGAAGAGUCGGAAGAGUCUUGCAUAAUAUGUUCAUACAGAUAGGGGUCACAUGACCUGACACUCAAGUCAUACAAGCAGAGUCAUACAAACCAAGCGGAAGUAUAAAAGUUGUGUGAGUACAGACAGUUGAAAGGAAAAGCCAUAAAGCCUGACUAUCUAACAUCCCUUCUGAAAGGGGUAAGGUCGUAGCUGGGACACCAACUACUCGUCAUCAUCGAGGUCUAGAUAGACCCCACCUGUUGGCUCGUGGGUAUGCUCUGCAACAUUUAUUAAGCAAACAUGAGUACAAAAGUACUCAGCAAGACUUUAGAACAGAUCUAUCUACUCAUGCACAUGUAUCAAUAAAGGGGUUGUGGGGUUUCAUGCACCAAGCCAGCUUUCACUAUUGGCUAGACUAAACUAUAAUUUAAAUAGUUUUAACAACUUCGAUAAGUCGUACACGAGUCCACUACCACCACAACAAUACACUAUCAUGGAUUCCUUCCCGUCUCCCUACGGAAAUGUCAUACAUGAUACUCACGCUUAUGUUGACACUUUUAUGAGUAGCCAUUAAAGUUAUCUAUGAACAACAUAUGUCUCCAAGUAGUCCAUAUCCGCGGACGCGGCUAUUCGAAUAGAUCAUAACCCUGCAGGGGUGUACUUCUUCACACACGCUCUCCUCACUUAUCGCCAUGUGCACGUCAUGCACCUCGAAAACCUUCAAGCGGAAGCCCAGCGAGGGAGUCGGCCACGACCGUUAACCACGCUAAUACCUAGUCCAGGUUUAUCGCCUAUUUGAGAGUGAACCCGCACGGAAGUCCGAUCGAGGUUUCCGCCACGGCCCCAAACGAUGUGCGCGGGGUUUCCAAGCCCACCAUCCGGGUGCCACUUGGUACACCGUGCCACUGCCUACCGCAUCAUAGCCGACCUCUAAGGUCAGCACUAUGCAGGGCCUCCAGUAUGACUAUAAACACAAGAAACUACUUGCAACUCCUGGACCGAGUAUUAGGCAAUUAAUAAGUCGAGAGGGGUCAUAUUUCAGGGCCGAGCAUGUGGUAGUGACUUUUCUUGGAUUACAUACACGGAACACAGUUCCGAAGGACGAUUCCAAUGAAACAACCCGCCAUGUACUCCUACAUAGCCUUUCAUCGGUACCUUUACCAAAUCAGGUUCCACACUUAUUCUUUGUCACUAGAAGACAUUCAUCCAUUCUUCUUCAUCACCUAGAUGAAACAGACCUGACACAACUCUAAGCAUAGCAAGCAUAGCAGAAUAAUACACAUCAUGGAUCAAGCAACUACCAGGUAUGCUAGGUUGCAAGGUUUCGCUAUUUACUGUGACAAUGACAGGUCAUGCAAAGGAAUAGGUUCAGCUACCGAAGUAAAGCAUUUGAAAUAUUUUGUCCUAAUGCAAUAAGUGGGAGAAGGAGCAGGAACAUGGGAUUAUAUCGGGAUGAUCAAAAUGGUGCUUGCCUUCUUGCUCAGCAGAAGGAUUAAAUCCGUCAGUCGGAUAUUCGGACGUAUCCGGAAGGGCAGAGCCUACCAAAAUAAUAAGGACAAUCAAUAACAUUCAUAUGCAACAAUAUGAUGCAUGAUCAUGGCAUGAAAUGAAAUGUAGCAUGAUCUAGUGUGGCUAUCAAACCUUUGGUUUGAUGCUCAUUUGAAUUCAAAUUCAAAUACUAUUUAAAAUGGGACAUUUAUUAAAUUCCUUUGAUUGAUUUGACCUAAUGCUAUUUCAUAACUUUGUUUGUCAUGCAUGAAAGUAGCACCAUUGUGUUCAUUGAAUUUUUCUGAUCAAUUUGCUUAUAUUAUUUGUCAAAUUUGGAGUUAUAUUUAAUUUUAAUUUCCAAAGUUUUGCACUUAUUCUGGAAUUAUUUAAAACAGAAAUAGUAUUUACUGCAUCAGCAUGACAUCAGCACGUCAAUCUGGCCGUUGAAAGUCCAACCUAACUAGUGGGACCCACUGGUUGGUGACUCUGGCUAGAUUUUAAUUAAACUUUAAGUUAAUUAGCUAGUUAACACAGACUGGUCCACAUGUCACUGACUAAUUAGGGUUUUAAUUAACUAAUUAUUUUUAUUAACUUAAACUUAAUUAGCCUGGGGCUGGCCCCACCUAUCAUAGGCUUAGGGGAGUCAACCCACCAGUGAUGGGGGUCAAACCCACCGAUGGCGAGCCUGCCGUAAUUCCACGGAUGGCGGAGGGCAUCGGAAAUGCACCUCCGGCGACCAAAUGAGCGACAAAAAGCACUGGAAGAAUGGCCACUCAUCCGUGAGUCCAUUUUUACUAGUCUCACGGUUUGAAACGGCCGGAGAUGACGCCAACGACCCUAAAGGUCUACUAGGUUGAACAAUAGUCUGAGGUUGACGGCGGAAGCUACUUGAGGAAUCUCCAGUGCCCAUGGGACUCCAUUCCCACAGGAACAGCUGACCUAGAAAAAUUCUAUCUCACAAGGCUGCUACCCUUGGCUCCUAGGUUCCGGGAUGACGGCGGCGUGCUCCUCUCCGAACGCAAUCUGGCCAAGACAAUAGCUAGGGACAAGCCAGUGAGUACUUUGAAUGUACUCGCAAAACAUCAAGAAAACAAACACGUUAAAGGAGAUGAGAUGCAUGCAAAUUUCCACUAACAAUUAUAUCAUCCCAUUAGAAUUUAAUUCAUGAAUGUAUUCAUAAAGAUACGCAAUGUUUCCUCCAACGUUUUACAAACAAGCAAGGAAGGUAGUAAUGAAUAAGUAAUAAUAUGUGAGCCGCAGUUGGGCGUUUGAGCGACACCACAGAAAAGGGCUUAUAAGAAAUAAUAAUAAGCAUGCCUCAGUCGGGCGUCUGAGCGACACCACAUAACGGGCUUAUAAUAAAUAAUAAUAAGCAUGCCUCAGUCGGGCGUCUGAGCGACACCACACAAAGGGCUUAUAAGAAAUAAUAAUAAUAAGCAUGCCUCAGUCGAGCGUCUAAGCGACACCACAUAAAGGGCUUAUAAAAAAUAAUAAUAAGCAUGCCUCAGUCGGGCGUCUAAGCGACACCACAUAAAGGGCUUAUAUGAAUAAGUAAAGAAUAUCCAUGAGGUAGAACCGUUCCAGAGAUAUUCAACAAUCAUAAUCAUAGGGGUUAGUCCACAGAAAUAAUGUUCAUAAUCGCCCACCAUACUUCCUGAUUAGUCUCAUACUUCUUUAACUAUCUCCGAAGACCGACACUCAGACUGACACUUGACUAGUCAACCAGUCAUCCUAGACCGUGGACACGGCUACUCGAAUAGUUCUACAGAGGGUGUACUCUUUACCCACAGCCCACGGUUUUCGAUAGUCACUUGGACUAAUCCCAGUUACGGUAAUUUAGAAGCAGACGCUCAGAUCCAGCACACACCAAUUUCACCUCCGCAAAGCCCGGCUUCACCCGGACUACGCUGCCAAGGUAAAACCAUAAGACGGGGAGGCUCCGACCUCGACUACAUGGGAUCAAAAUUUAUAUCGCGCGCCAACGGGGAGUGCCCUCCCUUCUGGUCCCAGACCGGAAACACCCAAGCCCCCUGACCGGAUGACUGGAUUUAGUUCAGGGCCCUGGAUACCUUCAUCCCGGCCCCUCUACUUGGUGUGUGACUGAUAAUAGGUCUAUAACCGACUAUACCAAAUCCAUUAUCCAGGAAACUAUGGUAGCACGAAGGGUAAGGUGACACACAGACAAGACUCGAUCUACGGUCGACUUAGGAGGUUUAAUAUUUUUCCUACAAGGAUUAGUACCACACCAUCUUGCUGAAGGGAUUAUCUCCGCGUUACUACCAUCACACCCCGACAUGCUUUCACUGACCACUCUCGUCCCACGAGGCGUCAGCCUAUGGUCUCAUUUUCACCAGACACACCUUACUCCGUGGUUGUCCAUACCAACAUAGCAUACAAAGUAUGAGGCAAUAACCACUUACCGCUUGCCUUCCACAAACUUAGCAAAAUCAAUAUCCAUCACAUGAUAUUAUGCAAGGUAUUAUUUAAUGCGAGAUUUUUAUCAACAUAACCUAAAAUCAUGCAAUAUAUGCACCACCACAAUCAUCACACAACUUUAUGCAAAUUUGGAUUCAAGAUGCUUGACUUAGGGGUUUGAGGAGGGUGAUGUGUACUCCACAUCUUGGAGUAGGUAUACUCUCUUAAAAAUCCUAUUUUGAAAGAUAUUUGAAUCAACACACAAACAUAAAACAGCACACAAAAGUUGAUUGAAUAAUUUUUAAAUUAACCUUAAAAUAAAUUAGAUGAAAUUCUAAACAGGUAGGAAAAAGAAUCAAUUGAUUUGGAGUUGUAUUUUAAAAGUUAGAGCCAGUCAAACUUUCUCGGCAACUCUGUUUUUAAAAUUCAAUAUAAAAGAAAAUGAUUCGGGGGUAAAUACGUUUCCUGGCAGAAAAAACGUAUUCAUUGAGACAGCUACAAAGAAAUACACUUUACCAAAAGAAGAUGCACCAGGG